AUGCUGAUGGCGAUUUCUCCUAGAUUAAAUGAAAUUUUUUGGUUUGAUUCACUUGGUCAUGGGCAAACAUAUAAUGGGAACGUGUAUGGCUGCAACAAGCAUGAUGAGUGGAAAGAAACAAUCUCGUCCACCGAAAUGGACUACAUGUUUGUGUCCUAUACAAAAAGGAAGCACCGAAUGUGGUUAUUAUGUGAUGAAAUUCAUGUGG
Ipomoea nil (Japanese morning glory) is the source of this 208-nucleotide long non-coding RNA. RefSeq lists it as uncharacterized. The record is from RefSeq and is a predicted model, not a curated record. Lineage: Eukaryota; Viridiplantae; Streptophyta; Magnoliopsida; Solanales; Convolvulaceae. The transcript has 3 exons.